UACGUAGGGUGCAAGCGUUGUCCGGAAUUAUUGGGCGUAAAGAGCUUGUAGGCGGUUUGUCGCGUCUGCUGUGAAAUUUCGGGGCUCAACCCCGAACUUGCAGUGGGUACGGGCAGACUAGAGUGUGGUAGGGGAGACUGGAAUUCCUGGUGUAGCGGUGAAAUGCGCAGAUAUCAGGAGGAACACCGAUGGCGAAGGCAGGUCUCUGGGCCACUACUGACGCUGAGAAGCGAAAGCAUGGGGAGCGAACGGG
RNAcentral lists this ribosomal RNA (253 nucleotides) under uncultured bacterium. RNAcentral describes it as "partial 16S ribosomal RNA". It matches the Rfam family "Bacterial small subunit ribosomal RNA", at positions 524 to 776 of the family's 1533-position model. The record is from RNAcentral.